RNAcentral lists this ribosomal RNA (869 nucleotides) under uncultured bacterium. Its description in RNAcentral is "bacterial SSU rRNA". It matches the Rfam family "Bacterial small subunit ribosomal RNA", at positions 1 to 864 of the family's 1533-position model. The record is from RNAcentral.
CCCUUAGAGUUUGAUCCUGGCUCAGAGUGAACGCUGGCGGCAGGCCUAACACAUGCAAGUCGAACGGCAGCACAGCAGUAGCAAUACUGUGGGUGGCGAGUGGCGGACGGGUGAGGAAUACAUGGGAAUCUGCCCUGUCGUGGGGGAUAACGUAGGGAAACUUACGCUAAUACCGCAUACGACCGGAAGGUGAAAGCGGCGGACCGCAAGGCGUCGCGCGACUGGAUGAGCCCAUGUCGGAUUAGCUAGUUGGCGGGGUAAAGGCCCACCAAGGCGACGAUCCGUAGCUGGUCUGAGAGGAUGAUCAGCCACACUGGAACUGAGACACGGUCCAGACUCCUACGGGAGGCAGCAGUGGGGAAUAUUGGACAAUGGGCGCAAGCCUGAUCCAGCCAUGCCGCGUGAGUGAAGAAGGCCUUCGGGUUGUAAAGCUCUUUUGUCCGGAAAGAAAAGCUCUCGGUUAAUACCCGGGGGUUCUGACGGUACCGGAAGAAUAAGCACCGGCUAACUUCGUGCCAGCAGCCGCGGUAAUACGAAGGGUGCAAGCGUUACUCGGAAUUACUGGGCGUAAAGCGUGCGUAGGUGGUUCGUUAAGUCUGAUGUGAAAGCCCUGGGCUCAACCUGGGAAUGGCAUUGGAUACUGGCGAUCUAGAGUGCGGUAGAGGGCAGUGGAAUUCCCGGUGUAGCAGUGAAAUGCGUAGAGAUCGGGAGGAACAUCUGUGGCGAAGGCGACUGCCUGGACCAGCACUGACACUGAGCACGAAAGCGUGGGGAGCAAACAGAUUAGAUACCCUGGUAGUCCACGCCCUAAACGAUGCGAACUGGGAUGUUGGGUGCACUAGCACUCAGUAUCGGAGCUAACGCGUAAG